GCAGAGCCCCCGGCAGGGCCUUGCUGCAGCGUCUCGGCUUCCCACCGGCCAGGACGGCAGGUGUGCCUGUGUGCACCUGUCUUCCAGCCUCGGGUGGAGUCUGGCUGUCAGGACCUCAAGUGACCUCACAGCAGAAGCCAGGAAGGCGAGUACCACCAGCGAUGACCACACCGUGUCCCCCAGGCAAACCCCAUACGGAUCCC
Molecule: long non-coding RNA, 203 nt
Organism: Tupaia belangeri chinensis (Chinese tree shrew)
Lineage: Eukaryota; Metazoa; Chordata; Mammalia; Scandentia; Tupaiidae
Exons: 3
Source: RefSeq, a predicted model, not a curated record